AUACGGAAGGUCCGGGCGUUAUCCGGAUUUAUUGGGUUUAAAGGGUGCGUAGGCGGAUGAUUAAGCGUGAGGUGAAAUGCCACUGCUCAACAGUGGAACUGCCUCGCGAACUGGUUGUCUUGAAUGCUCCUGCCGUGGGAGGAAUGCGUGGUGUAGCGGUGAAAUGCUUAGAUAUCACGAAGAACCCCGAUUGCGAAGGCAGCUGUCUGGGGUGCCACUGACGCUGAGGCUCGAAAGUGCGGGUAUCAAACAGGAUUAGAUACCCUGGUAGUCGGCACAGUAAACGAUGGACACUCGUGGUCGGCGACACACUGCCGGUCACCAAGCGAAAGCGAUAAGUAAUCCACCUGGGGAGUACGCCGGCAACGGUGAAACUCAAAUGAAUUGGCGGGG
RNAcentral lists this ribosomal RNA (393 nucleotides) under uncultured bacterium. Its description in RNAcentral is "partial 16S ribosomal RNA". It matches the Rfam family "Bacterial small subunit ribosomal RNA", at positions 523 to 918 of the family's 1533-position model. The record is from RNAcentral.